CACAUGUGAUGAGUUUGAUCAUGGCUCAGAACGAACGCUGGCGGCAGGCCUAACACAUGCAAGUCGAGCGCGCCCUUCGGGGUGAGCGGCGGACGGGUGAGUAACGCGUGGGAACGUACCCUUUGCUACGGAAUAGUCUCGGGAAACUGGGGGUAAUACCGUAUGAGCCCUUCGGGGGAAAGAUUUAUCGGCAAAGGAUCGGCCCGCGUUGGAUUAGGUAGUUGGUGGGGUAAUGGCCCACCAAGCCGACGAUCCAUAGCUGGUUUGAGAGGAUGAUCAGCCACACUGGGACUGAGACACGGCCCAGACUCCUACGGGAGGCAGCAGUGGGGAAUCUUAGACAAUGGGCGCAAGCCUGAUCUAGCCAUGCCGCGUGAGCGACGAAAGGCCUUAGGGUUGUAAAGCUCUUUCGUGGGGGAAGAUAAUGACUGUACCCCAAGAAGAAGCCCCGGCUAACUCCGUG
RNAcentral lists this ribosomal RNA (463 nucleotides) under uncultured bacterium. RNAcentral's name for it is "bacterial SSU rRNA". It matches the Rfam family "Bacterial small subunit ribosomal RNA", at positions 1 to 507 of the family's 1533-position model. The record is from RNAcentral.